RNAcentral lists this small nuclear RNA (120 nucleotides) under Daphnia magna. Its description in RNAcentral is "U5 spliceosomal RNA". It matches the Rfam family "U5 spliceosomal RNA". Rfam says of the family: U5 RNA is a component of both types of known spliceosome. The precise function of this molecule is unknown, though it is known that the 5' loop is required for splice site selection and p220 binding, and that both the 3' stem-loop and the Sm site are important for Sm protein binding and cap methylation. The record is from Rfam by way of RNAcentral. Lineage: Eukaryota; Metazoa; Arthropoda; Branchiopoda; Diplostraca; Daphniidae.
UCACUCUGGUGUCUCAUCAAUACCAGGAUAAUUCUUUCGUCUUUUACUAGAGAGUUCCGUGGUUACGAGCAUUGAUGAGUCUAUAUUAUUUUUUUUUCGAACGUCUGGUCCUUAGACUUG